GCCCAGGACCCCACAACCGCUCUCCUAAAGCGGGUGUCGCAGGUUCGAAUCCUGCCGGGGGCACCA
RNAcentral lists this transfer RNA (66 nucleotides) under Streptomyces diastaticus. RNAcentral describes it as "tRNA-Ser". RNAcentral also lists the same sequence under 1 other name. The record is from RNAcentral. Lineage: Bacteria; Bacillati; Actinomycetota; Actinomycetes; Kitasatosporales; Streptomycetaceae.